GCUAAGAAUAUUCCGCAAUGGACGAAAGUCUGACGGAGCGACGCCGCGUGGAUGACGAAGGCCGAAAGGUUGUAAAAUCCUUUUGCUGAUGAAGAAUAAGCGUGGUAGGGAAUGACCGCGUGAUGACAUUAGUCGGUGAAUAAGCCCCGGCUAACUACGUGCCAGCAGCCGCGGUAACACGUAGGGGGCAAGCGUUGUUCGGAAUUAUUGGGCGUAAAGGGCAUGUAGGCGGUUUGGUAAGCCUGAUGUGAAAUCCUGCAGCUUAACUGUAGAACUGCAUUGGGUACUGCCGAACUUGAAUCACUGAGGGGAAACUAGAAUUCCAGGUGUAGGGGUGGAAUCUGUAGAUAUCUGGAAGAAUACCGGUGGCGAAGGCGGGUUUCUAGCAGAUGAUUGACGCUGAGGUGCGAAAGUGCGGGGAGCGAACAGGAUUAGAAACCCUAGUAGUCC
Molecule: ribosomal RNA, 450 nt
Filed under: uncultured bacterium
Lineage: Bacteria
Description: bacterial SSU rRNA
Rfam family: Bacterial small subunit ribosomal RNA
Source: RNAcentral